Molecule: ribosomal RNA, 2453 nt
Filed under: Planctomycetota bacterium
Lineage: Bacteria; Pseudomonadati; Planctomycetota
Description: Planctomycetes bacterium (anaerobic digester metagenome) partial 23S ribosomal RNA
Rfam family: Bacterial large subunit ribosomal RNA
Source: RNAcentral
UGGUCAAGCUACUAAGGGUGCAUGGUGGAUGUCUAGGCGUGAUGAGGCGAUGAAGGACGCGGUAGGCUGCGAUAAGCCCAGGGGAGCUGUCAAGCGAGCAUUGAUCCUGGGAUUUCCGAAUGGGGAAACCCGACGUGACUGUGCAAGCAGAUCACGUCACCGCCGGAUGAAUUCAUAGUCCGUCGGAGCGAACGCAGGAAACUGAAACAUCUAAGUACCUGCAGGAAAAGAAAUCAAUUGAGACUCCGUCAGUAGCGGCGAGCGAACGCGGAUCAGCCCAAACCGGUCUUCGGACCGGGGUUGCGGGCGCCAUUCAGGAGUUAUAAAGGCAGUGAUAGUCGAAGAGUCUGGAAAGGCUCACGAUACAGGGUGAUAGUCCCGUAGGCGACGUCAGAUGCCCUCCGUUAUGUAUGGCGUUCCAGAGUAGCACGGAACUCGUGGAACUCCGUGUGAAGCUGGGGAGACCACUCUCCAAGGCUAAGUACUACAUCACGACCGAUAGUGGACAAGUAGGGCGAUUGAAAGAUGAAAAGCACCCCUAUUAGGGGAGUUAAAAGUACCUGAAACCAUGCACUUACAAGUUGUCGGAGCCCUAUGCCCGCAAGGGAAUGGGUGACGGCGUGCCUUUUGCAUAAUGAACCGGCGAGUUAUCGUUUGCGGCAUGGCUAAGUCCUUAAGGGAUGGAGCCGUAGGGAAACCGAGUCUUAAUAGGGCGUUUAGUCGCAGGCGGUAGACGCGAAACCACGUGAUCUACCCAUGGCCAGGUUGAAGCAUCCGUAAAAGGACGCGGAGGACCGAACCCGUGAACGUUGAAAAGUUCUGGGAUGAGCUGUGGGGAGGAGUAAAAGUCUAAUCAAACGUGGAGAUAUCUCGUUCUCUCCGAAAUAGCUUUUGGGCUAGCCUCGAGUAAAUUGCACGACGGGGGUAGAGCACUGGAUGAAACGAUGGGUCCACCAGACUACAUUCUUCAACCAAACUCCGAAUACCGUUGUGUGUACCUCGGGAGUCAGUCUACGAGGGAUAACCUUCGUGGUCGAGAGGGAAAUAACCCAGAUCGCCGGCUAAGGUCCCCAAUUCAUGCUAAGUGUGUAAGGAAGUCGGAUUGCUGUGACAGCCAGGAUGUUGGCUUAGAAGCAGCCACCAUUUAAACAGUGCGUAAUAGCUGACUGGUCGAGCAACCCGGUGCCGAGAAUGAUCGGGACUAAGCAUGAUACCGAAGCCGCGGAAUUGCCGUAAGGCAAUUGGUAGGAGAGCGUAGCUGUCGGCGUUGAAGGCGUACCGUAAGGAGCGCUGGAGCGGCAGCUAGUGAGAAUGCCGGUAUGAGUAACGAUAAAGCAGGUGAAAAUCCUGCUCGCCGUAAGCCUAAGGUUUCCUGGGGAAGGUAAAUCCGCCCAGGGUUAGUCGGAUCCUAAGUCGAGGCUGAAAAGCGUAGACGAUGGACAGCAGGUUAAUAUUCCUGCACUGCGCAUUGCGGUUGAACCGCGGAUGACGCAUCUACAAAGCGAAUCCACCGAUCAGACGUGGUGGUUGGGGCCCCGGUAACGGGGUCACUCGAGGCCGAUUUGUUGCCGAAGUUCGUGACGCAGGUGCCGAGAAAAGCUCCGCGGGGACAAUGUGCGCACCCGUACUAAAACUGACACAGGUAGGCGAGGAGAGUAUCCUCAGGCGCUCGAGAGAACCGUUCUUAAGGAACUAGGCAAUUUGACCCCGUAACUUCGGGAUAAGGGGUCCCUCCCGCAAGGCAUCUUAACUGACGCCAAGCGGAGGGCGCAGAGAAAUGGCUCUGGGAACUGUUUAUCAAAAACACAGGUCUCUGCUAACUCGUAAGAGGAUGUAUAGAGACUGACGCUUGCCCACUACAGGAAGGUCAAGGAAGUAGGUUAGCUCGCAAGAGCGAAGCUUGCAACUUAAGCCCCUGUGAAGGGCGGCCGUAACUAUGACGGUCCUAAGGUAGCGAAAUUCCUUGUCGGGUAAUUUCCGACCCGCACGAAUAGCGUAACGACUCCGACACUGUCUCGACGAAGGACUCGGCGAAAUUGUAGUUGUGGUGAAGAUGCCACAUACCUGCAGCAAGACGGAAAGACCCCGUGAACCUUUACUAUAGCCUAAUACUGGUAUUAGGCAUGGCAUGUGUAGCAUAGGUGGGAGACGUUGAACCGGGAGCGCCAGCUCUCGGGGAGUCACCGGUGAAAUACCACUCUUGCCAUGUUUGAUAUCUAACCUGUGGCCGUUAUCCGGCAUGGGGACAGUGUUAGGUGGGUAGUUUGACUGGGGCGGUCUCCUCCAAAAAGGUAACGGAGGAGCACAAAGGUGCCCUCAGCGCGGUUGGCAAUCGCGUGAAGAGCGUAAACGUAUAAGGGCGCUUGACUGCGAGACACAUAGGUCGAGCAGGUGGGAAACCAGGUGUUAGUGAUCCGGUGGUUCCGUGUGGAAGGGCCAUCGCUCAUCAGAUA